This 548-nucleotide ribosomal RNA is filed under the name uncultured Funneliformis. RNAcentral's name for it is "SSU rRNA". It matches the Rfam family "Eukaryotic small subunit ribosomal RNA", at positions 548 to 1098 of the family's 1831-position model. Lineage: Eukaryota; Fungi; Glomeromycota; Glomeromycetes; Glomerales; Glomeraceae. The record is from RNAcentral.
UUGGAGGGCAAGUCUGGUGCCAGCAGCCGCGGUAAUUCCAGCUCCAAUAGCGUAUAUUAAAGUUGUUGCAGUUAAAAAGCUCGUAGUUGAAUUUCGGGAUCAAGGGAUCGGUCAUGCCUUGGUAUGUACUGGUCUUAUUGGUUCUCACCUUCUAAAGAACCAUGAUGUCAUUCAUUUGAUGUUAUGGGGAAUUAGGACUGUUACCUUGAAAAAAUUAGAGUGUUUAAAGUAAGCUUACGCUUGAAUACAUUAGCAUGGAAUAAUGAAAUAGGACAUCAGAUUCUAUUUUGUUGGUUUCUAGGAUCGAUGUAAUGAUUAAUAGGGAUAGUUGGGGGCAUUAGUAUUCAAUUGUCAGAGGUGAAAUUCUUGGAUUUAUUGAAGACUAACUACUGCGAAAGCAUUUGCCAAGGAUGUUUUCAUUAAUCAAGAACGAAAGUUAGGGGAUCGAAGACGAUCAGAUACCGUCGUAGUCUUAACCAUAAACUAUGCCGACUGGGGAUCGGAUGAUGUUAAUUUUUUAAUGACUCAUUCGGCGCCUUACGGGAAAC